GAUGAAGAACGCAGCGAAAUGCGAUAAGUAAUGUGAAUUGCAGAAUUCAGUGAAUCAUCGAAUCUUUGAACGCACAUUGCGCCCGCCAGCAUUCUGGCGGGCAUGCCUGUUCGAGCGUCAUUUCAACCCUCGCUGCCCAUCUGGGCAGCGGUGUUGGGGACCGGCACCACCGGCGAAGCCCUUAGGGGCCCAGCCGGCGCCGCCCCCGAAAUACAGUGGCGGUCUCGCUGCAGCCUCCCUUGCGUAGUAGCACACCUCGCACCGGAGCGCAGCGCGGCCACGCCGUAAAACCCCCGACUUUCUGAGUUUGACCUCGAAUCAGGUAGGAAUACCCGCUGAACUUAAGCAUAUCAAUAAGCGGAGGA
Molecule: unclassified non-coding RNA, 365 nt
Filed under: soil metagenome
Description: partial contains 5.8S ribosomal RNA, internal transcribed spacer 2, and large subunit ribosomal RNA
Rfam family: 5.8S ribosomal RNA (bases 1-120)
Source: RNAcentral